AUCCUUUUAUGGUUCAUAAGCAUGAUGAUUGGGUUUACACACGUUUGUGUGACAUGUGCCUUCCUCCAAUAUUGUUAGGAUAUCGGCACACUACUCAUCUGACA
Molecule: small nucleolar RNA, 104 nt
Organism: Ochotona princeps (American pika)
Lineage: Eukaryota; Metazoa; Chordata; Mammalia; Lagomorpha; Ochotonidae
Source: Ensembl